Salvelinus sp. IW2-2015 is the source of this 908-nucleotide long non-coding RNA. RefSeq lists it as uncharacterized. NCBI's taxonomy places the organism in Eukaryota, Metazoa, Chordata, Actinopteri, Salmoniformes, Salmonidae. The record is from RefSeq and is a predicted model, not a curated record.
AAGGAAAGAGAAAAGUCAGCAGGACGACCUGAGCUACCCAGCAGACAUCCCCGGACACCUUGCCAAGACAGACCUCGUUCUCAGUCAGGUUGUGUGCAAGAUGGGACAAUUCUCAGUUCUGCUUUUGCUGACAGUUCUCUGUGCAUUCUUUGAGGAAACUGAAGCAAAUCCAUUUGUUUACAACUAUGAGAGACUACGAAUUGGAGGCCUGAUCAUUGCAGGCUUGCUUGUAGCAGGUGGCUUGUUUGUCCUACUUAAUCCCAAAUGCACUAGAAAGAACAAAAAAUCUGAAGAUGACACAAGUGAACUCUAAGCAUCUCUAAAGGAUGGAAUCUGACUAACUGGUUGCUGUUGUUCUAAUGAUGAAGAUUCGGGGGUGGGAAUGGGGCAGGACUCUGGCCAUGACAAUGUAAUGACACCUGAAUGGAUGUGAGAGCGGAUGGAGGGUGGGUGGACCACAAUACAUCUAUUUACUGUUUUGUUUCUUUAUUGGCUCAAAUAUAUGAGUUUAUUCUCAGGUGUUUUACGGUGGUAGUGAGAUGUAUGAUCGAACAACUAAAAUACAUUUCAUUUAGCUAUAGCUGAGCUAAAACGAUUAGCCUUCAAUUGUUUGUGCAAAUUCUUAUUAAUGAAAAGCCAAAUAAAUACCAUUGGAUACCAUUGUUAGAAGUAAACAACAUGCAAAACUGUUUGUAUUCAGAGAUGUGCACUGUGCAUGCUCUCAAGAUAGAAUAUGUAACCAAAACAGGUACUGUACACAACUAUUUUGAAUAUAUUGAUGUGAUAAUGUUCGAUUUGGUACCUUCCAUAUCACAGUUUUUACAUGUUGUUGCUAUAUUUGUUAUAGCAACAACAGGUCAUUGAAAGCAACCAAUGACAAACAAAUAAUAAAAUCCUCCUCCUCUCCA